This 391-nucleotide unclassified non-coding RNA is filed under the name soil metagenome. RNAcentral describes it as "partial contains 5.8S ribosomal RNA, internal transcribed spacer 2, and large subunit ribosomal RNA". The stretch from base 1 to 122 matches the Rfam family "5.8S ribosomal RNA", at positions 35 to 154 of the family's 154-position model. The record is from RNAcentral.
GAUGAAGAACGCAGCGAAAUGCGAUACUUGGUGUGAAUUGCAGAAUCCCGUGAACCAUCGAGUCUUUGAACGCAAGUUGCGCCCGAAGCCAUUAGGCCGAGGGCACGCCUGCCUGGGCGUCACACGUCGUUGCCCCCCCAUCUACUCCUUCGGGAUUGCGAGGGGCGGAUGAUGGCCUCCCGUGCGCCUCGUCGCGCGGUUGGCAUAAAUACCAAGUCCUCGGCGACGCACGCCACGACAAUCGGUGGUUGCGAAACCUCGGUUGCCCGUCGUGUGCGGUCGUCGCGCAUCGAGGGCUCGAAAAAAUUGCCGGGCUCCGGCUCGGCUUUCAACGCGACCCCAGGUCAGGCGGGGUUACCCGCUGAAUUUAAGCAUAUCAAUAAGCGGAGGA